This is an RNA transcript of Notolabrus celidotus (New Zealand spotty), 1140 nucleotides long. It is a transcript of the gene named interphotoreceptor matrix proteoglycan 1-like, with no coding region annotated. NCBI's taxonomy places the organism in Eukaryota, Metazoa, Chordata, Actinopteri, Labriformes, Labridae. The transcript is spliced from 5 exons. The record is from RefSeq and is a predicted model, not a curated record.
CUGUUGACGUGUGUAUCAGCGUCUCUCCUCAGAGGGACGCUCCCCGUCUUUAAAGUCUGUCUGUAACGUGAUGUCCUCCUCUGUGUCCGUCUCCAGCUGCUGCCGUACCUGCAGGCCAACCUGACGGGCUUCAUGGAUCUGGAGAUCAUGAACUUCAGGAAGGGCAGCGUGGUCGUGAACAGCAAGAUGAAGUUCGCCAAGAAGGUGCCGUACAACAUCACUGAGGCGGUCCACUGCGUCCUGGAGGAGUUCUGCUCCGCCGCCAAAAACCUGCAGAUCCAGAUCGACACGCACUCUCUGGAUAUCGAACCAGCCGAUCAGGCCGAUCCCUGUAAGUUCCUGGCCUGCGACGAGUUCUCCCGCUGCACGGUGAACCGCCGGACAAAGGAGGCGCAGUGCGUGUGUCAGCCGGGCUUCCUGUCGGUGGACGGCCUGCCCUGUCAGAGCGUGUGCGCCAUCCAGCCCGACUACUGCAGAGGAGGGGAGUGUCACAUCGUGCCUGGACAUGGAGCGGUGUGCAGAUACAAAGACAGCUUCUCCCUCCCAGGCCUGGCCAGUUAAGACCAAACAUCGCAUUGGACGCCGCCUGAGAAUACUACAAAAGACACGGAGCUGAACUGUGACUAAUUGAACCCCCCAAAGGAUGCAGGAGGACCGAGUGUUACUGGAGCUGAAAUCAGCAGGAUCUGUCCCAAGUCCUCGCCUCCCCUCAGUGCGGACUCGAUGAACCAGGACUCAGCAGCAGGAACUCAAGACCCCCGGAGGCCUCGCAGUUAUAAACCCCAAACUGAUGCUGAGCCGAAGAGGCUUCAGGACAAACUGUCGGCCUCUAAACCUCCUCAGAGCUCCGAGCUCUGAUCAAAGGACCACCUCCCAGCAGGGGGGAACAGACAUUUAGGACUCUUUGAAACCCGUCAGACCACCCGGUCUGCCGCCGUGAGCCACACCACGACAAAGAGGAGCUCAGCAGACGACCCUGCAGCAUCCAUCGGGGGAUCAUGAUCGACCCUGGACUGUUUUUGUAUUCGUCUGCUGACUCUGUGUUUCUGUAGUGAGUAGAUGAUUCUCUUUCAAACUCUCAGGAUCUCACGCGGGAGGAUUUCAGAGGUGGAAACAAAAAAAGGAAACUGGCGUUAUGAA